Molecule: ribosomal RNA, 484 nt
Filed under: uncultured bacterium
Lineage: Bacteria
Description: partial 16S ribosomal RNA
Rfam family: Bacterial small subunit ribosomal RNA
Source: RNAcentral
AUUGAACGCUGGCGGCAGGCCUAACACAUGCAAGUCGAGCGGAUGAAGGGAGCUUUCUCCUGGAUUCAGCUGCGGACGGGUGAGUAAUGCCUAGGAAUCUGCCUGGUAGUGGGGGAUAACGUCCGUAAACGGGCGCUAAUACCGCAUACGUCCUGAGGGAGAAAGUGGGGGAUCUUCGGACCUCACGCUAUCAGAUGAGCCUAGGUCGGAUUAGCUAGUUGGUUGGGUAAAGGCCUACCAAGGCGACGAUCCGUAACUGGUCUGAGAGGAUGAUCAGUCACACUGGAACUGAGACACGGUCCAGACUCCUACGGGAGGCAGCAGUGGGGAAUAUUGGACAAUGGGCGAAAGCCUGAUCCAGCCAUGCCGCGUGUGUGAAGAAGGUCUUCGGAUUGUAAAGCACUUUAAGUUGGGAGGAAGGGCAGUAAGUUAAUACCUUGCUGUUUUGACGUUACCAACAGAAUAAGCACCGGCUAACUUCGUG